Molecule: long non-coding RNA, 5638 nt
Organism: Brassica napus (rape)
Lineage: Eukaryota; Viridiplantae; Streptophyta; Magnoliopsida; Brassicales; Brassicaceae
Exons: 5
Source: RefSeq, a predicted model, not a curated record
GGGUUUUAUAGAAUUUUUAAAUAACAGUUUUUUUUUUGAAAACUAAAAUGAAUUACAUAUGAACCACCGAAUUUGGCAAUUUAACUGCGGGUCGGAUCGGGUUAGGUUUCAAAACAUUGAAUAUAAUGUUUCAUUUGUAAUAUCUAAGUGUAGAUACAAUUAAAAUACAAAUUUAUAUCAAAUAAAUUUGGAAUGUUUCGAAAAUAAUCCCGCGCUUUGAAAGCGCGAGUCAAAAUCUAGUAUAUAGUUAAACUACAUUUCUGGUUUAGUGGGAUGGACCAACGUUAUUAUUAACUUAAUUAUUGCUAUGUCUCAAACUAAAUUAAACGCAUGGUUAAUUCUCUAAACUUUGUUUUCUUCCCGAAAACUUAUAAACAAAAUUAACCUUUCUUGCAUUUUAAUAAAAUACUCUUAGCAAAUCCAAAAAGAACAAGGUAAUUAACGUCGGCAACUGAUAGCACAUUAAAGCCAUUUUUUGUAACUGAAGAAAUUAUGUUUUAAAAUGGUGACUCUGUAAUUUGUUUUUAUCUGCAGAAUUUUGAAUAAUGAGAAAACUAUAUAGGUGUAGAAUUAAGAAUUGAAAACAAAAGUUUCCUUUAGUAAUGUAAAACGUAUGAGAUUUCUGUGUUGAGUUGCUUUAUUUGUUUCCGCCUUGUUUCACCUGUUUAUUGUCUCUGUGUCAUUAAGAAAACAAUUGAAAAUUAAAAAGUAAAACGCGGAAAUACUUAUUUUAAUUACAACAAAAGAAGAGCAGGUUCCAUCGUGAAAGACCAAAAUUCAUACGCAAAAUUCAAGAUCUUUAGUAGGUUUGUCGUUGCCGUUUAUAGGCUAUGAGAUUGACCACUAUAAACUGCAAUGUACUGUUGAAUCCAAUUCCCCUCCACUCAAAAUGUCUCUCUCUCUAGACAUCUGUCCCGUUGCAUGUAAGAGGGAGAGAGAAAAGAGACAAAACUCAAAAACAGAGAUAAGACUCUUGAAGAGUGUGAACGACAGAGAGGGAUAAUGUUUUUUAUUUUCAUCUUUUGUUAAUCUCCCUUCUCCUCUCUUCUCUUCUCUUCUUCUCUCCUCUCCCCGAAUAUCUCUCUCUUUGUUCUUUCUUUUUUGUUAAUUUAUUUUCCCUUCUUGAUUUGGUCAAACCCUAGAUUUGUUUUCGCAAAGGGUAUCCAAAAAUGAAUAUAACUUUCCUCUUUUCCUUUGAUUAUAAAUAUUCCCUCUGGUUCUUGCUUAUCCUAAGCCUCUCAGAUCUAACUCUACAUCCCAAACCCAUUUCCAAUGGUCGAUCUCUUAUUUCAGAAUCUGUGUAGGUAAGGACAUUGAAUGAGUUUUGGGAUAAAUUUUAGAGAAACGCAUAGAAACUGACAGAAGAGAGUGAGCACACAAAGGCACUUUGCAUGUUCGAUGCAUUUGCUUCUCUUGCGUGCUCACUGCUCUAUCUGUCAGAUUCCGGCUCCGAUUCUUUUCGGUCUGUUCACGUUUUCUUCUUUAAUUGUGUUCCCAUUCUCUCUCUCUUAUGUUCUUCAUCCCUCCAAAUUAAGGUAAUUGAUACGAUCUCGCUCCUAUAAUAUGUAACGAUUUGGUUUCUAAAUGCAUACGACUUUACUCUUUCUUUUCUCCUUUGUUCUACUUUAUAUUUUAUGAGAUCAUUAGUUUCGAAAAAGCUUUAAUCUAAAUGUUUAUGGUUCGGUUAAACAAGAUUAAUAUGGGACCAUUAACGUUAACCGUUCUUUCUUAGGCUGGUCCUAACUCUUUUGAAUCCUUAAUUUUCUCAAUUCAAGCUUAGAUUAUUAAUCAUGUGGUUUUGUAUCCUCUCUUUUUUUCGGUUUCCGCUAGCUUUCAAAAUCUGUGAUUUAGUAUCUUGAUUCAUAAAUAUGUAUAGAUCUAUUAUUUGCUUCAUAUGAUGACAUCUGUGGAUUUGCAAAUUACUGUUCAUGAUCUUCAGCUGUUGGUUUUCUAGAUUAUUUAUAUUGUAUGCUUGUACAUUUUGCUUGAUGUAUAACCACUAUAUUUAUAUAGAUGGUAUCUAAUUUAUAUACCAUUGGUUCCAUGUGAUCACGUUGUGAAUCUUUACGAGAAUAUUCUUGUGGACUUGGUUCUUGAUCUAAGAACACGUUCUUUGCAUUUAAUUUUCAAAACGACCACAGGCUCAUCAAUUUGUGUAUUCUUUUCGAACUUUUAAGUAGUAAAUAUGGGUUCCAGAAGCGAUUUGUAGAUAUGGCCAAUUCUAUAUAUAUAGUGGUUACGAAAUCUACAGUAAUUGAAUUUCUUUCUGAAUUAUGUAUGCGUGUCUAUGACUGAAUGCUUAUGUAUGCGUGUCUAUGACUAAAUUUUGAAGAAAAGUAAAAUGUGACUUUCCCACAUUUAAAUGAAUUAUGUGUUUUUCUUUCUGCCAAAAUACUAUUUUCAAGUCUUGGGAUUUGUUUCUAAGUGAUGGGGUGAUUAAUAUUCUUCAAAUCGUGUCAAAUAUCUACAAAUAUUUUUUCUCGUGUUGCUAGCUAGGUGUCUCUUGUCAUGCAGGUCUUGCUUUCUCCUUUUUCUCAUUUGUUCCCACGUUUUCUUGCGUAGAAACCAGUUAAUGGACUAUUUUCAGACAAACCUAGGUUUGUAAUUCCUGUAGUUAGCAACAAAUAGGUUUUAACUUCGUGAAGAGAAAGAUAGUUCUUACUUGGGGAGUGUGAAAUGUGUUUUGAAUCCUCAGAGGCAUGUUUAUAAGAAUGAUCGAUAUAUGAGGUUGAGCUUCUCAAACUUUUCUUAACUGGGUCUGAUGGAAAAUGGUUUACGGAGUACUUAUAUUUUGCAUUCCAUUAUGUAACAAGUUGUCACCAAGACUUUUGUUUGCAUUCAUCUGAGAAAUUAGAGUCACACGGGCGUUAGCCAGGAAUAGGGAAGACAAUCAAAGAGACACUAACAUAUAUUUUUAAGGUGUCAUCAACGGUGCCAGAUUGUAAUAUGCAGCAAAUCCUCUGUCUUGAUGAGAGGGAUAUUUUAUGUUACAAGCUGGUACUAUUUAGUAUUGAUCGACCUUUUGGUGCACUUUUGUUCAUCAUGUUUCAGAUUUCGAUUGUCUAUCUUGGUCGCUGCCCGAUUCAAAUUGUUCAUGGGAAGGCAAAGACCGAUGCGGUGUUUGCGGUAACCUAUAUAUUUAUAAUCUUUUGGGAUAUUGAUUUAGGGUUUUUGUGCUUUGUUCUAUCAACUGAUUUCCUUGAUGCUGAUUGUUCUAGUUCACAUUUGUAAUAUUAAACAUUGUUAGGUUAAUUAUUGUCAGGUAAGUAGGAUCUGGAUAGGAUUGUUGUUGUGCAAGUCCACUAUCGAUACAUUGAUAAUUUAGUUGGUUACAUUUUGAAAAUGUCCAAGUUUAAUGGUAUAUGUCAUCUCAAGAAAAUUGAAGUCUUACCUAGAAAGUUAGAAAAUGUCAAACGAAACAAAUCCUAGCGAUUGGCUCUUGUUGAUGAUAUACAACACAUCUUUUUUUUAUUCCUUUUAACUUUUCUCUAAUUUUUUUAGUGUAAUACAAAAGUAGAUCCUCCUUUUCAGAAAUAUAAAUAAAUUAAUACGUACUAGUCAGCCGUUUUAAAAUAAUCAAAUAUUAUAUCCUCUUUAAGUAAUACAAAGUCAUAUUUAUCAAUCAAGUAGAUGAUAAUAAAAACAAAGAAGUCACAACAUGUAAAUUACAUACUUAAUUACCUCUUUAAACUUAAUCAGAAAGUUCUCUCUGAUUAAUUAACAAUAAUCGUAACAUCAUAAUUAAUUGUAGUGUAGUCUUUUGCAAACAAAGGUAAAUACAGUAUUUAUCGAAGAAAAACCUUUUGUAGUCUUUAUAUAUAAAAUACACUUUCAAUCUCUUCUGGGGGUGACAGCUCGGAUUCCACGUCAGAAAUAGGAAGUCUACAGCAUUGACACGUCGGAUCCGCACCGUUUCACUAAAGCGUUGCUCUGUCCGAACGGGCUUCACGUGGGCUUUGUGUUGCGCUUCGUCUGCGGCCCUAAUCAGUUGCAAUGCGAACCCCUUUGUGUUCUUCGUUUCUCUUCGAUCGCGCAGUGACGAUCCAGUUAUCUAAGCAUCACACUACUUGGUCAUCGUUCAUCUUCCUAUCCAUCAGUUGCGAUUGCAUUCGGUAUAUAUAUGCACUUCACGGAACCCUCAAACAAUCUAAUCCUUCCACAAUCUUCUUCAGAUCCUCAUUUAUCUUCUUUCUCCAUUAGAAGCGAUUGUUUCUAAGAGACCUCUUAAUUGACAUUUCAUCCUAGAUUCUUAUUAAUGGCAGUCUGUAAGUUAAAUUUCCCUUUUUGUUCUUUCUGUGCACAUGGAAUUUACAUUUGCUUAAUGUUUUUUGCAUCUGUGUUUGACGUUUGAAAAUCUGAAUCCGAUUUCAAAGUCAUGGAUCUGGAAAUUAAUGAUGCGCUGGCGAUGGAAAUUUGUCGUGAUACCAGCAUAAAUUCACGGGACGGUUGGCAUUCCUCUCCGGCGUGUAAGUUUAUGGAAACAUAACACUUUUUCAUUCUUUAUGAAUCUCCAAGAAAUAAAGGAAUCUUUGUGAUAUACAAUUUUGAUUGAUCUUUAACAGGCUAAGUUGUUUACAUUCAGAUAGAAUCGUUCAUCGUUAUAUGAAAAAGAUACAUGCUUUUGGAUUAACAGAGCAAUCUAUGGCUUGCUAAUUUUGGAGUGGCUAGGAUUGGAGCUCAGAAUCCAAAUGACAUGACUGAAGAAACUUGUACUCUUGAUGGCUCCAAAGUGAGAACGUCUCAGCCGAGAAGAUCAAGAGCUGAUGCAGAAGCUUCCUGAUUCCAGCAAAUCAAACGCCGUUGAACAACAUAAAAUCUGUUUCACCCAAUUCAAAACUCUCCUUCUUUUACAGGAUUCAUUUGGUAAGAAGCUGAUGGAUAGGAUCCGGCCAACCCAACCCCGGUCCUGCACAGUACUCUUCGUCCGCCUCUACCACGGUGUCUCAACCCAACUCCGGUUCCUGCCAUGUUGAUGCAGAUCUACAGCGACACUAUAGGUGUUGCCAAAUCUGUACUUUAAUCCUCCUAAGUUCAAUUUCAUGCCGCAAAUUUAGAGACACGGUGUGUCCUUCUUUUUCUCUCUGUUCAUAUACACUUGGAUAUGUAAUAUAAGAAAUUAAAAAUGCUUCUCUUUUGUUGUUCUAUGUGACCAGAAAAGACAGAACUCUGAACAAGUAGAAGAACAAGAUCCACUUAUUAGUUGUUCUUCUUUGAUGUAGUUGAACACAGUUUUGUAUGUUGGAAAUGACUUUGAUCGGCCAGUUUUGUAAAGAGUAUUCACUAAUUAGCUGACGCCUUGGAUCAUGUUAGGUUUUGCUCUUAUUCACUGCCUUUUAACCACUCUUCUGGUGAAAAUUAUAUACACUGCUAAGGAAGAGUUCGAGAAUCUGUGUUUAAUUCUUGGUAUUGAGCUUGAUGCUGUGACAACUGAGAAAGCAAUCAACAGGAAAGAAAAGCAUAUAGAAGAAGAAGAAGCUGAUGAUGACGAAGAAGUCAUCUACAAAUAAUAUAUCAAUCUGGCUGUGUAGUGUAUAUACACUGGUAUAUAUUUAUAUGAUAUUUUUUAAACAAAUUUCGAGACUAAUGUUUAGGUUAAAUUUUAAAAGCAAUAAAAUCAGUCAAAUGUAUUAUAAACAAA